Long non-coding RNA from Octopus sinensis (East Asian common octopus), 354 nucleotides. RefSeq lists it as uncharacterized. The transcript has 3 exons. The record is from RefSeq and is a predicted model, not a curated record. Lineage: Eukaryota; Metazoa; Mollusca; Cephalopoda; Octopoda; Octopodidae.
AUAUUUCAUCGUAUUUUUGACGAUUUUUCCAAUAUGAUUUAUUUCGUAUGUUUAUUUCUUCGUCAUGCUGUUGACUGUUCUGUAUUUUACUAAGAUGUAGGUUUAUUUUUAUACACAUACAUCAUCAGCUGAAAAGUCAUUGAAACAAGACAACGAACAGGUGCACGAAUUAAGGGAAAUGGCUACAAUUUCUCUCAGAUAAUUCAGUUCAAUUGCUCAGGAAUCCCGAGGCUUGGGCUAGUCCGGAAUCCUUGAGUCGUGGUAGCCAAGAGGGUGGUGCUUCGGUCUGUGGAGUUGACGAAAAGCACCAGGGGAGAUCAUUUGGCGAAACAUUCACCAUGCGGCAACAUAAAG